UGGGCCUGCGGAAAGCCAGUACAGGUGGCUCGGGAAAGAUCUUGGAUAGUUUAGGAUGUUUUUCGAUAUCUUUCCAACUUUCGCGGAUAAGGUGAGACAAGUUGUCAAAUUUUGGAUGGUAAGUCAACACAAAAGGCACCCUCCUGUUGACCUUUUUGACUUUAUAUUGUAAAAGUUCAUCUCGGCUGAUGUUGCUAGCACGAGAAAAACCUUUAUCAAUGUCUUUCCUUUUGUAGCCUCGAUGUUUUAGGUGACCGCGAAGUUCUUGUAGUCGUUUUUUGGCAACAUCGUUGGUGGAGCAAAUCCUUUUUAUUCGUAUGGCCUGGCUGUAGGGAAUGCUCUUGGUGCAAUGUUUAGGGUGACAACUUGAAGGAGACAGAUAUUGAUGUUUGUCUGUGGGCUUGCAAUACAGAUCUGUAAAUAUGUUUCCAUCCCUCACUUGCGUUGUAGUGUCAAGAAAUGUGAUCUUAGAGUCAGAGAUUUCAUAUGUGAAUUUUAUUGAGGGAUGGGCAUCGUUGGCAUGUUGAAUAAACAAAUCUAGUUCUUGUUCAGUAUUAUCCCACUUCAUGUCAAUAUCGUCAAUAAAUCGGAACCAAGAGAGGGGUUGAUAAAGAAAAGAAUUGAGAAUUCUCUGUUCUAAUUUCCCCAUAAAAAUAUUGGCAUAAGACGGGGCCAUCUUUGUUCCCAUUGCUGUUCCAUUAACUUGGAGAAAGUGUUCACCAUUG
Molecule: long non-coding RNA, 725 nt
Filed under: Mytilus galloprovincialis (Mediterranean mussel)
Lineage: Eukaryota; Metazoa; Mollusca; Bivalvia; Mytilida; Mytilidae
Source: RNAcentral